UGCAGGAGUGGGUUCAAGUGGGGUUGGACUUUACUCCAUGUUGAGGGAGGUAAGGGGAUUUGGGGCAGGUGCCUUUGAUUUGCAUGGCUUGGAUCUGUUCCCAGAUCAGGGCCAGGUGCUCUAAGAAACCGCCAGUAUCCAAACCCUUAUGAGCAGGCACUGGCAGCUAGGCGGGGCAAAGAGCCAGGAGCUACCCCAGAGUGGAAGGUGUCGGAGUGGCAGGCUUCAGUGGACUCCUGCAGAGGGGGUGCUGGUCCAAUGAUAUGACAGCAUCAAACAUUACCAUACAGUUCUCACUCUCCUUGGAAUUUCAUGAUGUCCUAAUCCUCACCCUGUUUGCCCAAAGGACACCUUCAAGAGUGAAUGACGUGGGGAGGAAUCAGAGUUAGGAGAAUUUCAAAGAGGAGGUCAAACUGGAUUGUUGGUUUUGCUUGCUUGGGUUCCACUUGUGGGCCAGUCUGGAACAGGGAAGCAAUCAGGCAUGAAGAUGGAAAGACCUGGGGAACUACUUAAGCAUCUUAAACAGCUCCACUGCCUGCUCCAGGCAACAGCUCCAAGAAGUCAAACCAGCUGUUCCUAAUACUUUCAGCAAUUGUACAGCAG
Long non-coding RNA from Mauremys reevesii (Reeves's turtle), 603 nucleotides. RefSeq lists it as uncharacterized. Lineage: Eukaryota; Metazoa; Chordata; Testudines; Geoemydidae. The transcript is spliced from 6 exons. The record is from RefSeq and is a predicted model, not a curated record.